GUCCGAACCAGAGAGAGCUUCCUAAAGAUAGUCAAUGUUAAGGCAAUGAGCACGUAAUUGAGGUUUCCAUGGGAUUGCAGUAUGACUCUUUAGUCGCUCAGAGCCAAAUGUAUGUAGCUGCUCUAGCCUGGAGAAUACAGGAUGGGACAGGGCCCAGGACCCAACCUGCAGGAAACCGACAGGAAAAAGUGUCGACUGGAACAGGAUUUUCUCCUUACACAUAUCAGAGACACCCCCUAAACGCUCACCGAUACUCUAAAGGUCCAGAUGUGAGCUGAAACUGAGUGGUGAUGUCAUCACAGCCCCAUGUCCACUCCUCUGCGGAAUCCAGAAAGCAGACAGAGGAGAGAAGUGGGGGAUGAGAGAGAAAGAGAAGGGAAAGGUAUGCAAUAGACACCAAAAUGAAGAAAUAGGAACAUUUGCUUUGGACAGUGAAAGCAAGGGGGUGGUGGUGUUCUUUAAUUCA
Molecule: long non-coding RNA, 466 nt
Organism: Ictalurus punctatus (channel catfish)
Lineage: Eukaryota; Metazoa; Chordata; Actinopteri; Siluriformes; Ictaluridae
Source: Ensembl